UUAUUAAUAAUUAUAAAUUUUAAUUUUCCCGAAUUUAAGAGAGCUAAAUAUAUAUAUAUAUUAUUGUAAAAUAAACAUUUAAAAUAUAUAUUUAGUAAUGAAAUGUUAUUCGUUCUUUAAUAUAUCUGGUUUUUUAAGAAAUAAAUUUAAUUUAGGGAUUAUUAAAGAUUAAAUUAAUUUAAUAAUUUGAUUUUGUUAAUUUUUAAUAUUUUAAGGGAUAAGCUUUAAAAUAAAGAAUUAUAAAUUAAUUUUUUAAUAAAAAAGUAGUAGGAUUGGCAGUGUUUAAUAUAGUGGUGUGUUAUAAUUAAUUUUUAUUUAAAUAUAAUUUAUAUAGAUUUUAAGUAUUUUAUUGAAAUAUCUUAUUUAAUAUAGUUAUAAGAGUAAUAAUGAUAAAAUUAGUAUAAUUAAAUGUAAAUAGUUUUUAAAUAUUAAGGUUAAAUUAAGGAAUUCGGCAAAUUUAUUUCUCGCCUGUUUAUUAAAAACAUGUCUUUUUGAUAAUAAUUUAAAGUCUAAUCUGCCCAAUGAUUUUUGGUUGAAUGGCCGCAGUAUCCUGACUGUGCUAAGGUAGCAUAAUCAUUAGUUUUUUAAUUGAAAGCUGGAAUGAAUGAUUGGACGAGGAAAUUACUGUCUCAAUUUAAUUUUUCUUAGAAUUUUAUUUUUAAGUAAAAAAGCUUAAAUAAUAUUGAAAGACGAGAAGACCCUAUAGAGUUUUAUAUAAUUAAAUUAUUUUUGAUUUGAGGAAUUAAUAAUAAUUAAAUAAUUUAUUAUAUUUAGUUGGGGGGAUUGAAAAAUUUAAUUAACUUUUUUUUUAUUUUUAUAUAGAUAAGUAGAUUUAUGAGCCAUGUUUUAUGAUUAAAAGAUUAAAUUACCUUAGGGAUAACAGCGUAAUUUUUUUUAGAGUUCUUAUCGAAUAAAAAGAUUGCGACCUCGAUGUUGGAUUAAAAUUAAUUUGUGGUGUAGAAGCUAUAAAAUUAGGUCUGUUCGACCUUUGAAAUUUU
This 998-nucleotide ribosomal RNA is filed under the name Glaresis ecostata. RNAcentral's name for it is "partial 16S ribosomal RNA". Lineage: Eukaryota; Metazoa; Arthropoda; Insecta; Coleoptera; Glaresidae. The record is from RNAcentral.